Long non-coding RNA from Cavia porcellus (domestic guinea pig), 992 nucleotides. RefSeq lists it as uncharacterized. The transcript has 3 exons. The record is from RefSeq and is a predicted model, not a curated record. Lineage: Eukaryota; Metazoa; Chordata; Mammalia; Rodentia; Caviidae.
UUCUCCAGCAGCCCCCAGGGCUCCCUGCACCCUCCCGCCUUGCACCCUGUCCUCCCUGCAUCAUCCCCCCACCCCCGCCAGCAAGCGCCUGCCUCCCCUCUCUGCCUCUCUCAGGCCCCACAAAACAGCCACCUGCUUGCUCCGGUACUUAAGUCUGUCCUUCCUCCUCCUCUGGCCAGGUGUUUUCCAGACACCACUGAGAUUUCUGGUCCCCGGACAUAAUUCACUCCUUCCAGAGGCUGAGGAAGGCGGUGGCCUGGCCAGGCCUUGUCCCCGGGAUCCCAGCUUGUGAGCACAGUGUCCAAAGGAGGAGCGGCUCUGGUGUCCGGUAGUGGGGUCAGGCCCGGAAGACUUGGGUGGCCCCUCAUGAGAAAAGCACGCUGCGGACCUCUUCCUUCUCACACAGCAACUGGUCCAGGCCCCAGGCCAAGCUCCGAUGACCUUGAUCUCCAGGAAUAAUAUUUUGGCCACAGAAGGGUCUGCAGAAUCACUGCCACAUGGAUGACUUCCAUCCUCCCCAGACACAGCCCAGCCGCCUCCUCCCAGAGAGAGAAACAGAGAGCGACAGAGAGAGUCUGUAUUACCGUGAAUUAAACUCAAGGCUUUCACAUUGAGCUACAUGCCUAGCUCUUUUAAAAUGUUUAAUUUUGGGGGUCUUGGUGAGGGCAGGCCUUGCUAAGUCAAUAAAUUGCCCAGGCUGGGCUUGAACUUAUGAUCCUCUCAGAGUACAAAACUGUCCCACUUUGACCACCUUCUUCCUGUGUGAUGGUCCUGGUCAAGAACAGGAAGCUGGUGUGCCUCAGUUUCCUCUUCUGUGCAAUGCCUCAUACCAGCCUCACAGGCCUCUGGCUGACAGGAGCCAGCAGCAUGGUCCAGGUGUCUGUGUAGCCAGGAAGGAUCCUGUGCGGUCUCCCAGCUCCACGGCACAGGGCCGCUGCAGACCUCAGUGCCGGACUGAGGGCAGCUGUGGCCUUGCCCUCUCUGGCCUCUCU